Molecule: long non-coding RNA, 241 nt
Organism: Parus major (Great Tit)
Lineage: Eukaryota; Metazoa; Chordata; Aves; Passeriformes; Paridae
Exons: 3
Source: RefSeq, a predicted model, not a curated record
AAUUUUUAAUUUUCUCCUCAGAAUGCCUGCCUUGCUUCAGCAACACAGCAGGAGGGAAGAAACAAGAAGUUUUCUGGAAGACAGGAGUUGCUGAAAGGCAUUUGAGUCUGACUACAUUGUUUUAGUUGUGUACUUGGCAAUUUAGAGGAAGUAAUGAGACCUCCUGUGAAAUGAGGAAGCUGAAUUCCAGCGAGCUUUAGACAAGAGAUCUGCGUUCAGCACUACAGAAAUGAGUCAGCAC